This is a long non-coding RNA of Lagopus muta (rock ptarmigan), 397 nucleotides long. RefSeq lists it as uncharacterized. The record is from RefSeq and is a predicted model, not a curated record. The transcript is spliced from 2 exons. Lineage: Eukaryota; Metazoa; Chordata; Aves; Galliformes; Phasianidae.
GUGUACACGGUUUAUGGCUAGCUGACUGCUUCUAGGGUGCAAAUUGCCAUCUCCCUGAUGGGAGCUGGGAUUAGAUGAGAGCAGACCUGCCAAGAGCUGUGUAGUUCAUCAACAAAGAAGUGCUUUAUCAAAACAUCUUUCUUACACUGUUUACAUUAGAAAGAUGAGGUCAGGAUGUCCUACAGCAUCCUGCAUCAUAGGAUGCCACUGACCAAGGCAAUGCAUCAUUGUUGGUAUGCUGCUGAGCCCACAUCCUCCAAACCUGGAGGUGAACUCCUCUGGCAGAUUCCCAAAGGGGGAGGCAGUGAUGCCCGUGAUCCUUGAUUCCUGUGCCACUGAAUCAAACACAGCAUUUGUGCACUGUAUUAAAAACCUCUGCAUCUAUCUGUAUACAACA